UACGUAGGUGGCAAGCGUUGUCCGGAGUUAUUGGGCGUAAAGCGCGCGCAGGCGGUGCGGUAAGUCUCUGGUGAAAGCGCUCGGCUUAACUGGGCGAGGGCCGGGGAGACUGCCACGCUGGAGGGGAGCAGAGGCGAGUGGAAUUCCGGGUGUAGUGGUGAAAUGCGUGGAGAUCCGGAGGAACACCAGUGGCGAAGGCGGCUCGCUGGGCUCUACCUGACGCUGUGGCGCGAAAGCUAGGGGAGCAAACGGG
Molecule: ribosomal RNA, 253 nt
Filed under: uncultured bacterium
Lineage: Bacteria
Description: partial 16S ribosomal RNA
Rfam family: Bacterial small subunit ribosomal RNA
Source: RNAcentral